GCUUAACCGGAGAAGUGCAUCGGAAACUGGGAGACUUGAGUGCAGAAGAGGACAGUGGAACUCCAUGUGUAGCGGUGGAAUGCGUAGAUAUAUGGAAGAACACCAGUGGCGAAGGCGGCUGUCUAGUCUGUAACUGACGCUGAGGCUCGAAAGCAUGGGUAGCGAACAGGAUUAGAUACCCUGGUAGUCCAUGCUGUAAACGAUGAGUGCUAAGUGUUGGAGGGUUUCCGCCCUUCAGUGCUGCAGCUAACGCAUUAAGCACUCCGCCUGGGGAGUACGACCGCAAGGUUGAAACUCAAAGGAAUUGACGGGGGCCCGCACAAGCGGUGGAGCAUGUGGUUUAAUUCGAAGCUACGCGAAGAACCUUACCAGGUCUUGACAUCUUCUGCCAAUCUUAGAGAUAAGACGUUCCCUUCGGGGACAGAAUGACAGGUGGUGCAUGGUUGUCGUCAGCUCGUGUCGUGAGAUGUUGGGUUAAGUCCCGCAACGAGCGCAACCCUUAUUAUCAGUUGCCAGCAUUCAGUUGGGCACUCUGGAGAGACUGCCGGUGACAAACCGGAGGAAGGUGGGGAUGACGUCAAAUCAUCAUGCCCCUUAUGACCUGGGCUACACACGUGCUACAAUGGACGGUACAACG
Molecule: ribosomal RNA, 637 nt
Filed under: uncultured bacterium
Lineage: Bacteria
Description: bacterial SSU rRNA
Rfam family: Bacterial small subunit ribosomal RNA
Source: RNAcentral